GUGAGGAAUAUUGGACAAUGGGCGCAAGCCUGAUCCAGCCAUGCCGCGUGCAGGAAGACGCAUCUAUGGUGUGUAAACUGCUUUUGUACGGGAAGAAACACUCCCUCGUGAGGGAGCUUGACGGUACCGUAAGAAUAAGGAUCGGCUAACUCCGUGCCAGCAGCCGCGGUAAUACGGAGGAUCCAAGCGUUAUCCGGAAUCAUUGGGUUUAAAGGGUCCGUAGGCGGUUUAAUAAGUCAGUGGUGAAAGCCCAUCGCUCAACGAUGGAACGGCCAUUGAUACUGUUAGACUUGAAUUACAAGGAAGUAACUAGAAUAUGUAGUGUAGCGGUGAAAUGCUUAGAUAUUACAUGGAAUACCAAUUGCGAAGGCAGCUCACUAAGGCGAUACUGACGCUGAGGCACGAAAGCGUGGGGAUCGAACAGGAUUAGAUACCCGGGUAGUCC
This 445-nucleotide ribosomal RNA is filed under the name uncultured bacterium. RNAcentral describes it as "partial 16S ribosomal RNA". It matches the Rfam family "Bacterial small subunit ribosomal RNA", at positions 354 to 796 of the family's 1533-position model. The record is from RNAcentral.